CCCUUAGAUGUUCUGGGCCGCACGCGCGCUACACUGAUGCAUUCAACGAGUUUCUUCCUGGUCCGAGAGGAAUGGGUAACCUUUUGAAAGUGCAUCGUGAUAGGGAUAGACUAUUGCAAUUAUUGAUCUUCAACGAGGAAUUCCUAGUAGACGUAGUUCAUCAGACUGCAUCGAUUACGUCCCUGCCCUUUGUACACACCGCCCGUCGCUCCUACCGAUUGAAUGCCCAGGUGAGCCAUUCGGACUUUCAUCAUGCUGGUUUCCAGUUUUGAUGAAGGAAAGUCUUGCGAACCUUAUCAUUUAGAGGAAGGAGAAGUCGUAACA
Molecule: ribosomal RNA, 324 nt
Filed under: uncultured eukaryote
Lineage: Eukaryota
Description: partial 18S ribosomal RNA
Rfam family: Eukaryotic small subunit ribosomal RNA
Source: RNAcentral